Molecule: ribosomal RNA, 774 nt
Filed under: uncultured Desulfobacteraceae bacterium
Lineage: Bacteria; Pseudomonadati; Thermodesulfobacteriota; Desulfobacteria; Desulfobacterales; Desulfobacteraceae
Description: bacterial SSU rRNA
Rfam family: Bacterial small subunit ribosomal RNA
Source: RNAcentral
GCAAGUCGAACGCGAACGUUUCCUUCGGGGAACUAGUAGAGUGGCGCACGGGUGAGUAACGCGUAAGUAAUCUACCCUCGCAUUCGGGAUAACCCACCGAAAGGUGUGCUAAUACCGGAUACGUCUCAUUUAAUAUCUUUUGAUGAGAGAAAGGUGGCCUCUUGAAUCAAAGCUACUGUGCGGGGAGGAGCUUGCGUACCAUUAGCUAGUUGGUAGGGUAACGGCUUACCAAGGCGAUGAUGGUUAGCGGGUCUGAGAGGAUGAUCCGCCACACUGGAACUGGAACACGGACCAGACUCCUACGGGAGGCAGCAGUGAGGAAUAUUGCGCAAUGGGGGCAACCCUGACGCAGCGACGCCGCGUGGAUGAUGAAGGCCUUCGGGUUGUAAAAUCCUGUCAGAUGGGAAGAAGUGUGUAUCACCCAAUACGUGAUACAUUUGACGGUACCAUCAAAGGAAGCACCGGCUAACUCCGUGCCAGCAGCCGCGGUAAUACGGAGGGUGCAAGCGUUGUUCGGAAUUACUGGGCGUAAAGCGCGCGUAGGCGGCUAGAUAAGUCAGAUGUGAAAGCCCGCGGCUCAACCGUGGAAGAGCAUUUGAAACUGUCUAGCUUGAGUACUGGAGGGGGUAGUGGAAUUCCCGGUGUAGAGGUGAAAUUCGUAGAUAUCGGGAGGAAUACCGGUGGCGAAGGCGACUACCUGGCCAGAUACUGACGCUGAGGUGCGAAAGCGUGGGGAGCAAACAGGAUUAGAUACCCUGGUAGUCCACGCCGUAA